AGGUAUUGUGGCUCUGCUCCAGGAAGUCAUGCAAUGCCAGGCUCUGUCCACUUCAUUGCUCUGCCAGUUCUAGGGGGCUGACCCCAUCCAGACGGUCCAAGAUGACUCCUCAUCACGACUCAUGCUGUGUUCAGAUGCAGCCUGAUACGGACACUUAAACGAUAUCUCCAGGACCUGGUCCUCUCUCAGCGCGGCUCCCUCAUCCUCUGAAUGAGAAUCUCCUCCGCACCCUCAGACAGGCUCUUCCACCAUGAUUGCAAGAAGGUUUGGGCAGCUCCCUCCUUCAUGUGUUCUCAGCUUUAUGUCCACCGUCUCCCCUGUAAGAGUCAAAUGCAAGUCCUGUGCUGCCUCUCAGUGACCUGCACCAAUCCCAGUGGUGGGACAGGAGAACUUGUUCACUAAGACUAUUAGAAGCUCCCCCUCAGCCCACCCCUGCAACUAUGUGGCUGAGAGUGAGGGAGGGAUGAGUCCCUAGAGAAAAUUCUCUAUACUGUUUGACCAGGAGAAGGAUGAAUGACUGAAAGUGAACGUGAUGGCUGGAUCAUGAG
Molecule: long non-coding RNA, 548 nt
Filed under: Homo sapiens (human)
Lineage: Eukaryota; Metazoa; Chordata; Mammalia; Primates; Hominidae
Description: non-protein coding lnc-GRHL2-5:2
Source: RNAcentral